Anolis carolinensis (green anole) is the source of this 582-nucleotide non-coding RNA. The record is from the annotation of a RefSeq genome assembly. Lineage: Eukaryota; Metazoa; Chordata; Lepidosauria; Squamata; Anolidae.
ACAUUAUGCAUUGGAGGAUGGCUGCAUAGAAGAAAUGUAAACCUCCCUGUGAACAUUUGGGAAUAGUCCCCUGGUGUUUGGGAGACUUUAGUUAAAGGAGAUCAGAUUUGCAUGAAGGCCCUGCCCUCUUCUCUCUGGGCAUUUAUGAGAAGUUGGUUAGGAAGAGCAACUAAAAUCCCUUUGGUGGAGGAAGAUCAACUCAACAGAUUUUCCAGAAUGGCUGAGCUCUUGCUUCUUUUCACCAUCCUCAGUUUUGUCGGUUCGAGCGUCCAGCAGUUGCAGACCUUGAAGGACCCAGAAUCGGUGGCCCAAGGAGGGACGGUCACCCUGUCUUGCAGAUAUAAUAGUGGAAACAUCGGGGACAACAACCACCCAUCGUGGGUUCAACAAAUACCUGGAAGUAUACCUCGCUUGGUCAUGCAUAGCACCAGCACCCGACCCACAGGCGUCCCAAACCGUUUUUCGGGUUCUAGGUCGGGCAACAUGAUGUCCCUGACCAUCACGGGGGCCCUGGUGGAAGACGAAGCCAUGUAUUACUGUGUUAUAUGGACAGGGAGUGAGUGACACAGUUGUUGACCCAGA